GAUGAACGCUAGCGGCAGGCUUAACACAUGCAAGUCGAGGGGCAGCAUAAUGGAUAGCAAUAUCUAUGGUGGCGACCGGCGCACGGGUGCGUAACGCGUAUGCAACCUACCUUUAACAGGGGGAUAACACUGAGAAAUUGGUACUAAUACCCCAUAAUAUCAUAGAAGGCAUCUUUUAUGGUUGAAAAUUCCGAUGGUUAGGGAUGGGCAUGCGUUGUAUUAGCUAGUUGGUGGGGUAACGGCUCACCAAGGCGACGAUACAUAGGGGGACUGAGAGGUUAACCCCCCANACUGGUACUGAGACACGGACCAGACUCCUACGGGAGGCAGCAGUGAGGAAUAUUGGUCAAUGGACGCAAGUCUGAACCAGCCAUGCCGCGUGCAGGAUGACGGCUCUAUGAGUUGUAAACUGCUUUUGUACGAGGGUAAACGCAGAUACGUGUAUCUGUCUGAAAGUAUCGUACGAAUAAGGAUC
Molecule: ribosomal RNA, 475 nt
Filed under: uncultured bacterium
Lineage: Bacteria
Description: bacterial SSU rRNA
Rfam family: Bacterial small subunit ribosomal RNA
Source: RNAcentral